RNAcentral lists this ribosomal RNA (535 nucleotides) under uncultured bacterium. Its description in RNAcentral is "partial 16S ribosomal RNA". It matches the Rfam family "Bacterial small subunit ribosomal RNA", at positions 355 to 883 of the family's 1533-position model. The record is from RNAcentral.
UGGGGAAUUUUGGACAAUGGGGGAAACCCUGAUCCAGCCAUCCCGCGUGUGCGAUGAAGGCCUUCGGGUUGUAAAGCACUUUUGGCAGGAAAGAAACGUCGUGGGUUAAUACCCCGCGAAACUGACGGUACCUGCAGAAUAAGCACCGGCUAACUACGUGCCAGCAGCCGCGGUAGUACGUAGGGUGCAAGCGUUAAUCGGAAUUACUGGGCGUAAAGCGUGCGCAGGCGGUUCGGAAAGAAAGAUGUGAAAUCCCAGAGCUUAACUUUGGAACUGCAUUUUUAACUACCGGGCUAGAGUGUGUCAGAGGGAGGUGGAAUUCCGCGUGUAGCAGUGAAAUGCGUAGAUAUGCGGAGGAACACCGAUGGCGAAGGCAGCCUCCUGGGAUAACACUGACGCUCAUGCACGAAAGCGUGGGGAGCAAACAGGAUUAGAUACCCUGGUAGUCCACGCCCUAAACGAUGUCAACUAGCUGUUGGGGUCUUCGGACCUUGGUAGCGCAGCUAACGCGUGAAGUUGACCGCCUGGGGAGUAC